RNAcentral lists this long non-coding RNA (665 nucleotides) under Carica papaya (papaya). Its description in RNAcentral is "long non-coding RNA (CPAP_LNC013704)". The record is from RNAcentral. Lineage: Eukaryota; Viridiplantae; Streptophyta; Magnoliopsida; Brassicales; Caricaceae.
CAUUGUAUGCAUGUCUUAAUUUCUGAUGGCAUUUGUUUAUGGAUCCUUGAGUAGAAGAUUAAACCAAAUGAGACAUGAACCAUUUGGCAUUCAUGAACCUUUUUCGUCUGAUUUCUGUUUCAUCUGUGUAACAAAAUGUAUAGAGUCAGAAGGGUGCCCGAUACUGAAGUCUCUCUCUCUCUCUGUGUCUUAUGAGAUUUUGCACUUUGAUUUAUUAAAUUCCUACCACAUGGCAUUGCAGGAGUUGAAGCGGUUUCCAACACUUCAAACUGACAUAGCAGCUGCUGCAAAUGAAGCAUUGGAAAGAUUCCGAGAUGAGAGCAAGAAAACAGUUCUACGGUUGGUGGAUAUGGAAUCUAGCUAUCUAACAGUUGAAUUUUUCCGGAAACUUCAUCUUGAGCCAGAGAAGGCUCAAAAUUCCUCAGGCCCAAAUGCAGACCGUUAUUCUGAUAAUCAUUUCAGAAGAAUUGGUAUAUAAUAUUUUUCUUUCUUGAUUACAAUAAGUUUGAUAUUUUUCACUUUUCUACUUAAAAAAAAAAAAACCUCGAGCUAAUAUACACAAGAUUCAGUGAUCUGCAUUUGCUGAUUCUAGAAUUAGUUUAAUUUGUUUCUGUUCUGUUAGGUUGAGACAAUGAUGCUGGAGGUAUAAUGUCAUCCAUCGUUAG